GACACAUCAAGAGCAUCCGAGAGAGAGAAGAAAGUGAAAGGUGAGAGAGAUAGAUCACUAAAGUCUCCUGGAAAACCAAAUAUGCACGUCCCUUUGGAUUCAAGUUUUACUUUAACAAAAUUCCAGCAUUAAAAGAAGAAAAAAAAACAUGAAAAAUUAGUACGAGCUAUUCUACUAAAGUACUUUUCCCCGAAAUAAAUUACAAUCUCUUUAAAAAAAUUACAUAUCAACGUUGAUAAAGGUUUUUAUUUUGCUAUAAUAUCAUGGAGAUCAAGACCAUUAGACUUAUUGCUUAACUUAGCAACGAAAAAGGUAGAUACAUUAUUUCAUUAAUUCUUCCC
This 341-nucleotide long non-coding RNA is filed under the name Brassica rapa (field mustard). RNAcentral's name for it is "long non-coding RNA (BRAP_LNC002831)". Lineage: Eukaryota; Viridiplantae; Streptophyta; Magnoliopsida; Brassicales; Brassicaceae. The record is from RNAcentral.